Molecule: ribosomal RNA, 427 nt
Filed under: Stenotrophomonas maltophilia
Lineage: Bacteria; Pseudomonadati; Pseudomonadota; Gammaproteobacteria; Lysobacterales; Lysobacteraceae
Description: bacterial SSU rRNA
Rfam family: Bacterial small subunit ribosomal RNA
Source: RNAcentral
AGUGGGGAAUAUUGGACAAUGGGCGCAAGCCUGAUCCAGCCAUACCGCGUGGGUGAAGAAGGCCUUCGGGUUGUAAAGCCCUUUUGUUGGGAAAGAAAUCCAGCUGGUUAAUACCCGGUUGGGAUGACGGUACCCAAAGAAUAAGCACCGGCUAACUUCGUGCCAGCAGCCGCGGUAAUACGAAGGGUGCAAGCGUUACUCGGAAUUACUGGGCGUAAAGCGUGCGUAGGUGGUCGUUUAAGUCCGUUGUGAAAGCCCUGGGCUCAACCUGGGAACUGCAGUGGAUACUGGGCGACUAGAGUGUGGUAGAGGGUAGCGGAAUUCCUGGUGUAGCAGUGAAAUGCGUAGAGAUCAGGAGGAACAUCCAUGGCGAAGGCAGCUACCUGGACCAACACUGACACUGAGGCACGAAAGCGUGGGGAGCAAA